This 24-nucleotide microRNA is filed under the name Populus tomentosa. RNAcentral's name for it is "Pto-N4". Lineage: Eukaryota; Viridiplantae; Streptophyta; Magnoliopsida; Malpighiales; Salicaceae. The record is from RNAcentral.
CCGGAGCUCCUGGAACUUCCGCUG